UCAAAUCUGUGAUGUGCGUAUUGUCUUUUUCUGUGUUGACCGAACAUUUUAUUGAUACUUUGGGAUCUGACUUGUACCAAAGCCGGUAACAUGCCUUUUCACUUGGUAGUUCGAAGCUGAGGUCGUUGAGCCCACCUGCUAAUUUGCGGGAUCAAUACAACAAGACGAACAACGGCACCGACGGAUUUGUG
RNAcentral lists this non-coding RNA (191 nucleotides) under Melissococcus plutonius. Its description in RNAcentral is "6S / SsrS RNA". It matches the Rfam family "6S / SsrS RNA". From Rfam's summary of the family: E. coli 6S RNA was the first non coding RNA to be sequenced, but its function was unknown until recently. It consists of 184 nucleotides that fold into an extended hairpin structure with a large single-stranded internal bulge. Lineage: Bacteria; Bacillati; Bacillota; Bacilli; Lactobacillales; Enterococcaceae. RNAcentral also lists the same sequence under 1 other name. The record is from RNAcentral.